RNAcentral lists this ribosomal RNA (376 nucleotides) under uncultured bacterium. Its description in RNAcentral is "bacterial SSU rRNA". It matches the Rfam family "Bacterial small subunit ribosomal RNA", at positions 524 to 898 of the family's 1533-position model. The record is from RNAcentral.
UACGUAGGGGGCAAGCGUUAUCCGGAUUUACUGGGUGUAAAGGGAGCGUAGACGGCAGGGCAAGUCUGAAGUGAAAGGCGGGGGCUCAACCCCCGGACUGCUUUGGAAACUGUCCGGCUGGAGUGCAGGAGAGGUAAGUGGAAUUCCUAGUGUAGCGGUGAAAUGCGUAGAUAUUAGGAGGAACACCAGUGGCGAAGGCGGCUUACUGGACUGUAACUGACGUUGAGGCUCGAAAGCGUGGGGAGCAAACAGGAUUAGAUACCCUGGUAGUCCACGCCGUAAACGAUGAUCACUAGGUGUCGGGGGUUCAUAAACCUUCGGUGCCGCAGCCAACGCAAUAAGUGAUCCACCUGGGGAGUACGUUCGCAAGAAUGAA